GGCGGCGUAGCCAAGUGGACAAAGGCGGGGGACUGCAAAUCCCUUAUUCGCGGGUUCGAAUCCCGCCGCCGCCUCCA
Molecule: transfer RNA, 77 nt
Filed under: Dictyoglomota bacterium
Lineage: Bacteria; Pseudomonadati; Dictyoglomota
Also listed under: 1 other name
Description: Dictyoglomi bacterium (hydrothermal vent metagenome) tRNA-Cys
Rfam family: tRNA
About the family: Transfer RNA (tRNA) molecules are approximately 80 nucleotides in length. Their secondary structure includes four short double-helical elements and three loops (D, anti-codon, and T loops). Further hydrogen bonds mediate the characteristic L-shaped molecular structure. tRNAs have two regions of fundamental functional importance: the anti-codon, which is responsible for specific mRNA codon recognition, and the 3' end, to which the tRNAs corresponding amino acid is attached (by aminoacyl-tRNA synthetases). tRNAs cope with the degeneracy of the genetic code in two manners: having more than one tRNA (with a specific anti-codon) for a particular amino acid; and 'wobble' base-pairing, i.e. permitting non-standard base-pairing at the 3rd anti-codon position.
Source: RNAcentral